UGCAGUCGAACGAUGAAGCCCAGCUUGCUGGGUGGAUUAGUGGCGAACGGGUGAGUAACACGUGAGUAACCUGCCCUUGACUCUGGGAUAAGCGCUGGAAACGGCGUCUAAUACCGGAUACGACCUGCCCCGGCAUCGGGUGCGGGUGGAAAGUUUUUCGGUCAAGGAUGGACUCGCGGCCUAUCAGCUAGUUGGUGAGGUAAUGGCUCACCAAGGCGACGACGGGUAGCCGGCCUGAGAGGGUGACCGGCCACACUGGGACUGAGACACGGCCCAGACUCCUACGGGAGGCAGCAGUGGGGAAUAUUGCACAAUGGGCGAAAGCCUGAUGCAGCAACGCCGCGUGGGGGAUGACGGCCUUCGGGUUGUAAACCUCUUUUAGUAGGGAAGAAGGGCUUCGGCUUGACGGUACCUGCAGAAAAAGCACCGGCUAACUACGUGCCAGCAGCCGCGGUAAUACGUAGGGUGCAAGCGUUGUCCGGAAUUAUUGGGCGUAAAGAGCUCGUAGGCGGUUUGUCGCGUCUGCUGUGAAAACCCGAGGCUCAACCUCGGGCCUGCAGUGGGUACGGGCAGACUAGAGUGCGGUAGGGGAGAAUGGAAUUCCUGGUGUAGCGGUGGAAUGCGCAGAUAUCAGGAGGAACACCGAUGGCGAAGGCAGUUCUCUGGGCCGUUACUGACGCUGAGGAGCGAAAGCGUGGGGAGCGAACAGGAUUAGAUACCCUGGUAGUCCACGCCGUAAACGUUGGGAACUAGAUGUGGGGACCUUUCCACGGUCUCCGUGUCGCAGCUAACGCAUUAAGUUCCCCGCCUGGGGAGUACGGCCGCAAGGCUAAAACUCAAAGGAAUUGACGGGGGCCCGCACAAGCGGCGGAGCAUGCGGAUUAAUUCGAUGCAACGCGAAGAACCUUACCAAGGCUUGACAUAUACCGGAAACUUCCAGAAAUGGUUGCCCCGCAAGGUCGGUAUACAGGUGGUGCAUGGUUGUCGUCAGCUCGUGUCGUGAGAUGUUGGGGUUAAGUCCCGCAACGAGCGCAACCCUCGUUCUAUGUUGCCAGCACGUCAU
This 1063-nucleotide ribosomal RNA is filed under the name Rathayibacter sp. RNAcentral's name for it is "bacterial SSU rRNA". It matches the Rfam family "Bacterial small subunit ribosomal RNA", at positions 56 to 1129 of the family's 1533-position model. Lineage: Bacteria; Bacillati; Actinomycetota; Actinomycetes; Micrococcales; Microbacteriaceae. The record is from RNAcentral.